RNAcentral lists this ribosomal RNA (425 nucleotides) under uncultured bacterium. Its description in RNAcentral is "bacterial SSU rRNA". It matches the Rfam family "Bacterial small subunit ribosomal RNA", at positions 356 to 773 of the family's 1533-position model. The record is from RNAcentral.
GGGGAAUUUUGGACAAUGGGCGCAAGCCUGAUCCAGCCAUGCCGCGUGCAGGAUGAAGGCCUUCGGGUUGUAAACUGCUUUUGUACGGAACGAAAAGACUCCUUCUAAUAAAGGGGGUUCAUGACGGUACCGUAAGAAUAAGCACCGGCUAACUACGUGCCAGCAGCCGCGGUAAUACGUAGGGUGCGAGCGUUAAUCGGAAUUACUGGGCGUAAAGCGUGCGCAGGCGGUGAUGUAAGACAGAUGUGAAAUCCCCGGGCUCAACCUGGGAACUGCAUUUGUGACUGCAUCGCUGGAGUGCGGCAGAGGGGGAUGGAAUUCCGCGUGUAGCAGUGAAAUGCGUAGAUAUGCGGAGGAACACCGAUGGCGAAGGCAAUCCCCUGGGCCUGCACUGACGCUCAUGCACGAAAGCGUGGGGAGCAAAC